RNAcentral lists this ribosomal RNA (1294 nucleotides) under Escherichia coli. RNAcentral's name for it is "partial 23S ribosomal RNA". It matches the Rfam family "Bacterial large subunit ribosomal RNA", at positions 1 to 1325 of the family's 2925-position model. The record is from RNAcentral. Lineage: Bacteria; Pseudomonadati; Pseudomonadota; Gammaproteobacteria; Enterobacterales; Enterobacteriaceae.
GGGUUGUGAGGUUAAGCGACUAAGCGUACACGGUGGAUGCCCUGGCAGUCAGAGGCGAUGAAGGACGUGCUAAUCUGCGAUAAGCGUCGGUAAGGUGAUAUGAACCGUUAUAACCGGCGAUUUCCGAAUGGGGAAACCCAGUGUGAUUCGUCACACUAUCAUUAACUGAAUCCAUAGGUUAAUGAGGCGAACCGGGGGAACUGAAACAUCUAAGUACCCCGAGGAAAAGAAAUCAACCGAGAUUCCCCCAGUAGCGGCGAGCGAACGGGGAGCAGCCCAGAGCCUGAAUCAGUGUGUGUGUUAGUGGAAGCGUCUGGAAAGGCGCGCGAUACAGGGUGACAGCCCCGUACACAAAAAUGCACAUGCUGUGAGCUCGAUGAGUAGGGCGGGACACGUGGUAUCCUGUCUGAAUAUGGGGGGACCAUCCUCCAAGGCUAAAUACUCCUGACUGACCGAUAGUGAACCAGUACCGUGAGGGAAAGGCGAAAAGAACCCCGGCGAGGGGAGUGAAAAAGAACCUGAAACCGUGUACGUACAAGCAGUGGGAGCACGCUUCGGCGUGUGACUGCGUACCUUUUGUAUAAUGGGUCAGCGACUUAUAUUCUGUAGCAAGGUUAACCGAAUAGGGGAGCCGAAGGGAAACCGAGUCUUAACUGGGCGUUAAGUUGCAGGGUAUAGACCCGAAACCCGGUGAUCUAGCCAUGGGCAGGUUGAAGGUUGGGUAACACUAACUGGAGGACCGAACCGACUAAUGUUGAAAAAUUAGCGGAUGACUUGUGGCUGGGGGUGAAAGGCCAAUCAAACCGGGAGAUAGCUGGUUCUCCCCGAAAGCUAUUUAGGUAGCGCCUCGUGAAUUCAUCUCCGGGGGUAGAGCACUGUUUCGGCAAGGGGGUCAUCCCGACUUACCAACCCGAUGCAAACUGCGAAUACCGGAGAAUGUUAUCACGGGAGACACACGGCGGGUGCUAACGUCCGUCGUGAAGAGGGAAACAACCCAGACCGCCAGCUAAGGUCCCAAAGUCAUGGUUAAGUGGGAAACGAUGUGGGAAGGCCCAGACAGCCAGGAUGUUGGCUUAGAAGCAGCCAUCAUUUAAAGAAAGCGUAAUAGCUCACUGGUCGAGUCGGCCUGCGCGGAAGAUGUAACGGGGCUAAACCAUGCACCGAAGCUGCGGCAGCGACGCUUAUGCGUUGUUGGGUAGGGGAGCGUUCUGUAAGCCUGUGAAGGUGGCCUGUGAGGGUUGCUGGAGGUAUCAGAAGUGCGAAUGCUGACAUAAGUAACGAUAAAGCGGGUGAA